RNAcentral lists this unclassified non-coding RNA (375 nucleotides) under soil metagenome. RNAcentral's name for it is "partial contains 5.8S ribosomal RNA, internal transcribed spacer 2, and large subunit ribosomal RNA". The stretch from base 1 to 120 matches the Rfam family "5.8S ribosomal RNA", at positions 35 to 154 of the family's 154-position model. The record is from RNAcentral.
GAUGAAGAACGCAGCGAAAUGCGAUAAGUAAUGUGAAUUGCAGAAUUCAGUGAAUCAUCGAAUCUUUGAACGCAUCUUGCGCUCCUUGGUAUUCUGAGGAGCAUGCCUGUUUGAGUGUCAUUAAAUUCUCAACUACACUGACUUUGAAUUGGUGUGGCUUGGAUUUGGGGGGAAAAUUGUUGUGGGCUUUUUGUAUAGUCUGCUCCCCUGAAAUUGAUUAGCGGUACCUUUGUGGAACUGUCUACAGGUGUGAUAAUUAUCUACAUCUUAGACAUCUGCUGGAAUGCUGCUUUCUAACCUUACUUGUAUUGACAAUCUUGACCUCAAAUCAGGUAGGACUACCCGCUGAACUUAAGCAUAUCAAUAAGCGGAGGA